GGAAAGGCCUCACAUGAGGACACAGUGAGAAGGCAGUCAUCUACAAGUCAGGAAGAGAGCCUUCACCAGAAAUGGAAUUUGUUGGCAUGCUGAUCAUGGACUUCCAGCCUCCAGAACUGUGACAAGAUAAAUGUCUGUUUUUGGCUGGGCAUGGUGGCUCACACCUGUAAUCCCAGCAUUUUGGGAGGACGAGGGGUGACAUGGAAAGAGCCCCAGACCAGAGGCCAAGAGACCAGGUCCUAGUCUGGACUCUAUCAGCUUAGCGGAGUGAUAGAAGACGAAUCAAUCAAC
This 291-nucleotide long non-coding RNA is filed under the name Homo sapiens (human). RNAcentral's name for it is "HSALNT0292874". Lineage: Eukaryota; Metazoa; Chordata; Mammalia; Primates; Hominidae. The record is from RNAcentral.